This 430-nucleotide ribosomal RNA is filed under the name Empedobacter falsenii. RNAcentral's name for it is "bacterial SSU rRNA". It matches the Rfam family "Bacterial small subunit ribosomal RNA", at positions 1105 to 1533 of the family's 1533-position model. Lineage: Bacteria; Pseudomonadati; Bacteroidota; Flavobacteriia; Flavobacteriales; Weeksellaceae. The record is from RNAcentral.
UUUUCCUUAUUUCCCAGGGGGUUAAGCCGGGAACUUUAAGGAUACUCCCAGUGACAAACUGGAGGAAGGCGGGGACGACGUCAAGUCAUCAUGGCCCUUACGACCAGGGCUACACACGUGCUACAAUGGUCGGUACAAAGGGUUGCUACCUAGCGAUAGGAUGCUAAUCUCAAAAAGCCGAUCGUAGUCCGGAUUGGAGUCUGCAACUCGACUCCAUGAAGUCGGAAUCGCUAGUAAUCGCGGAUCAGAAUGCCGCGGUGAAUACGUUCCCGGGCCUUGUACACACCGCCCGUCACACCAUGGGAGUUUGUUGCACCAGAAGUAGGUAGUCUAACCGCAAGGAGGACGCUUACCACGGUGUGGCAGAUGACUGGGGUGAAGUCGUAACAAGGUAGCCGUAGGGGAACCUGCGGCUGGAUCACCUCCUUAA